This 5361-nucleotide long non-coding RNA is filed under the name Capsicum annuum. RNAcentral's name for it is "long non-coding RNA (CANN_LNC018821)". Lineage: Eukaryota; Viridiplantae; Streptophyta; Magnoliopsida; Solanales; Solanaceae. The record is from RNAcentral.
UUUUUAUUCUCUACUUUAACCCAAUUCUCAGCCUAUUAAAUCUUAGCCGUUGAUAAAAAGUGAUCCAACGACUGAAAUCAAAACCCUUUUUCUUUCCUUUUAAAAUUUAAUACCACCAAACCGUAAUUCAAUUUCAAUCUUCCAUCCGCCUCCCCCAUCUCUCUCUCUACCUUUUCUCUCACUCUCUUUCUUGCUCGAAAAAGGAAGCAGCCAUGGCUGUCGCCGUAAAGCCAGAGAACUACCACCUUCAAUCUGCCUCCCCCCUCCGAUCAACGAUGACAACACCCGUCGAAGAAGACAGCCGGUGCCGCCAUCGAAGCAGAACCCUUGGCUGCCGCCACUGCUCUUUCUCCUUCUUCUCUCCAUUGCUGUGUCGCCAUCAGCCGGUAAAGAUCCGCCAAGCAGCCACGUCGCUAUCACCGGUGAGAAUCUGACCAGCAACGACCCUCCGCCGCCGUUCCAACUUCGACCCCCAAAGCCACCGUCACCCCCGCCAAAAAACACAUAUUUUAUGAAGGAUUCUUAAGAAUCCGUCCGUGGUUUUGUAUCUCAUUUUUAUUGCAUGUUAUUAUCUUCCAUCCUUUCUUUUCCUUUUUGUUCUUUAAGUUUGAAAUCUUGAACUGAUUCUAGUAAUUUCUUAAACCCAUAUGCGUGAAAGCCUUUGGUGAACUGUUUUAAUCCCAAUUUUGGCUAGACUUGUAGUCAAUUCCUCCUCCUAGGUUCACUACCCUAUUUACUUGAUUGAUUACAGUUGAAAAAUGUUGUCUCCGCGAAUGACUCUUUUUAAUCUUAACUAUAACACGAUUUACACGUCUGCUUGAUCUGGUUUUAGAAUUGACUUUGAUAUGAUUUUAAGGCCACUUUCCACACCCUGUAAUUAUGGUAAGAUUUACAUGUCCCAUUGGUAAUUUUUGUGACUGAUUUCCUUUACAUUUUUGGUAUAAAUUAUAUACUUAAUUUGAAUGAACCUGAUAUGACGGGAUUGAUAUCUUCUUUUAUGGUAAAUAUCGACGUUGAUACAUGUUUUUGUUAUUUAUUCUCUUAAAAUCAGUACCUUUUCCCCCCCCAUUUAUUUAUGGUAACUGUAAUAAUUUAUUGAGUCAAUUUGUUGAUUUUCUUUCUUAAAUAUAUAUUGAAUAUCAUCUUUCUUAAUUAUAUGUUUACCAUAUUUUAACUCCCUUUAUUAUGGUAAAUAUAUCACGAAAUUGAUUUCCCCUCCUUCUUGUUUUACUUUGAUUGAUUUUGUAUUAUAUCAAUUCUAUUAUUUAUGAGGAAAGACUUCAGUAAUUGAGGGAGGGGGCGAUUUCUUUUCCUUUUUUAUCUUGGUUGACUGUUUCUUUUCAACAUUAUAUAAACUUGUCUCUUCAUUCAUAAAGGGAAACUUUUUAUUUAUCUCUCGAUUACAAUUAGUGUUCAUAAAAAGCUUCAAUUAUAAAGUAUCUUACUUUCUCAAAAUUGGGGUGGUGCUUUUUAGAAUUCAAAGGACACCAGAGUUAUUCGUCCCUCUCACUAUUUCUAUUCAAGAUAUUAUUAUUACUAUUACUUUGCGGUUUCACUGGUAAGUCUCUCAUCAAUGUAGUUACAUACUAGAAAGCAUGCCUAUAGGAUUAGUUUGAAAUAAUCACUUGUUGCUUACUUGCUAUGUUGUGUUCGCUUGUUGCAACAUAUCUGUCCAUGUAUGUGUUUGUCCCGUGCAUUGCUUUCUGUUAUAUUCAACAAAUGUAAUUAGGAGGGGGUUCCGAAGAGUCGCCGGGAUGAUGAAAUUGACUAUGUUAGUCUUCAUAGCUAGUUAUUUUUCUUUCUUCUUAUUUUUCGUAUUACUUGGUUUGUAAUAUUGUAAAGACAAUGUUAUUAUUGUAAUAAUAAAAUUUGGGGGACUGCUUUUGACUGUUUCUUUUCAACAUUAUAUAAACCCAUCUCUUCGUUCAUAAAUGGACACUUUUUUUUUAUCUCUCGACUACGAUUACAAUUCAUAAAAAGCUUCAAUUAUAAAGUAUCUUACUUUCUCAAAAUUGGGGUGGUGCAUUUCGAAAUUCAAAGGACACCAGAGUUAUUCGUCCCUCUCACUGUUUCUAUUAAAGAUAUUGUUAUUACUAUUACUUUGCGGUUUCACUGGUAAGUUUCUCAUCAAUGUAGUUACAUACUAGAAAGCAUGCCUAUAGGAUCAGUUUGAAAUAAUCACUUGCUGCUUACUUGCUGUGCUGUGUUCGGCUGUUGCAACAUAUCUGUCCAUGUAUGUGUUUGUCCCGUGCAUUGCUUUCUAUUAUAUUCAACAGGUGUUAUUAGGAGGGGGGUUCCGAACAAUCACCGGGAUGAUGAAAUUGACUAUGUUAGUCUUCACAGCUAGUUGUUUUUCUUUCUUCUUAUUCUUCGUAACAUUUGGUUUGUAAUAUUUGUAAAGACAUUGUUAUUAUUGUAAUAAUAAAAUUUGGGGGACUUCUUCGGGGGGUGGGGAUUUAUGUUCUCUAUGAACGAUUUAGAUAGGCACAACUUAGAUUUAUGUGCAAUACGUGUUACGUGGAUCAUAUAGGCACACAAAAUUAGGAUUUAUUAACAUAUGCGACGAUUAAUCUAUUUAUUAACUAAGUUGAUUAAGUCCCUACAUAUUAAUUUAUCUAUUAGCAUGUUAAAUAUAAGUAUAAGCCUAUUAAUACAGUUUUCACAUGUUAAAGCAUUUAAUAUAUUCUUCGUAUGUUAGUAUAUUAAUUGACAUUGAGCAUAUUAAUGAGAUAUUAAGCAUAUUAAUGUAAUUUUAUCACGUUGAAUUGAUUUUUAGCAUAUUUCUAGUAUGUUAGCUUGAAUUAAGCAUGUCAAUAUUUUCAAGUCUGUUAACCCAAUUCCUGCGCAUUAAUACAUGCAUUAAAAAUAAUUUCAGCAUCACUAGAACCCGUUCCGGCACAUUCAAAUGAUGUUCAGCAUAUUUAAUAAUGUUUUCAGCACGUUUAAUUAAAAUUCCAGCAUGUUUAAACCAAUUUUUCAGCGUAGUUAAUUAAAAUUUUAGCAUGUUUGAAUUAAUUUUCCGUCACGUUCAAUCACAUUCUAGCAUGUUAAAAUGGCAUUUCUGGAUAAAAUAAUUAAUUUUCAAUAGUUUAAAACACUAAUUCUCUAUAUUUUCAGCAUGUUAAUAUCAUUAAAACAUUAAAUUUCUGCACAUUUCAGCAUUAUUAAAGCAUGUUUCUGCACAUUAAAAUAAUUUCAGCAUUACUAGAACUUGUUUCUGCACAAUUUCAGCAUAUUAAACUACUUUCGGCAUGUUAGUAUUAAAAUUUAAACCUGUUGUACUAUUAACAUAUUUUUAGCAUGUUAAACAUUAAGUGUUAGGCAUCUUAGCAUGUCAUGACAUUAUAUUCCUUGACACAUUUACCACACUUUUGACACCCUCUUUUAAUACUUAACAACACAUUGUUGCAUACACAAAUCACAGUUGUAUUUCAUGACUAUUUAUAGAACAUUAGAUAUCACGCCAAUAGGUUAAUAUACAAUGAAUAAUUAUUUGUCUUCGCAUGUUAAUCACAUUAAUCAACGUUAAUUAAUCAAGAGGCUAACUUGGGAUUCUUAUGUGCUACUUGCUGUCCAAAGUGUUACGCGCUUCGAGUCCUAGGCAACAUAAUUUUAUUUUUGUCUAGAACACAAAUCCAAAAUAGUAAAGUCCAAUGCCUCUUGGACGAUAGGUGGGACGAUAAGUAUUACUAAGAGACGUUAGUUUUAUCCUUGUUAUAGAACACCCUUAGACCUGAUAUCCAGCCUAGGUGGGGUGGGACAGGUAGUCAUUUGGAAGUGAUGAUCCCAACGAAAAUUGACGGUAAGACUAAUGACAUUGUUACUUGUCUAAGAGUUCGGCCGAUGGGUCGAAUGAUGAUUAAAAAAGUUGGGGUUUUGAUCUGAAUGAGACCAAAAUAUUUCUUUGUUUGACUUGGAAGAAUUCUUUUUAUUCUUUUAUUUACCUUACAUGUUCAUUUAUUUGGGGUAGUUAAUUUAUUAUAAAACAGCCCCCUUUGUUGUAAAUUGUGUUAUUUCUUUCUCUUCGCUUGUCUGAUUUACAUAUAUUUAUUAAUUCUAUCACUUAGAUGAUUAAUAGACAUAAUUAAGUGAAAUUUUUGUUAAUUACUUUAUCACCUUGAUAAAUAUUAAAUUAAUAAUAAAAUAAGAGACCUUUAUUUGAUCACAUAGAAUCCCCACGUAAAGUAUGAAUUCGGCUGGGAACCACCUUUGUGGAUCUCGAAAGGUGCCUAACACCUUCCUUUUGAGGUAAUUUGAACCCUUAUCCGAACUCUGGUGAACUAAGACUAAAUAACAAAAUACGUUCGUAGUAGCGUAGAUCGGUGCCCUAACACACCUUAAUAUGUUAGGCGGCGACUCUUCACACUCUACCCUUCAAACGAUCCUAAAAAGAGUGGUCAUGCUGAAUCCCACUUUUUGCGAGGAAAUUGGGACGUGACAGAAUGGUGACUCCGCUGGGGAUCUUAGGUUCUAACCAUUAUGAAUUUGUGUUUUAUGCGGGAUUCUCUCUAUGUGUUUUUAUGUUUAUAUAAUAAAGUUUACUUUUGACAUGUUUUAUUUUCUAUAUGUUCUUCUUUUAUUGCUUAUUCACAUCAUGAUUUAUUUGUCUCUUUUUUUUUUUUCUCUUUUUAUGUGUUAUUCAUGAUUCUCUAUGCCUACUUUUGCUCUUUUUUUUUUUCAGUGAUUAAUUGACACAUGUUAUUCCCUUCUCCUUUCACCUUUUUUUGUGUUAUUCCUGUUUCUCCAUGUCUACUUUUGCUUUAUUGGUGAUUAAUUCAUGCAUGUUAGUCCCUUCUCCUUUUUCCUAUUUUUUUUUACGUGUUAUUCAUGUUUCUCUAUGCCUACUUUUUCUUUUGGUUAUGUGCUUCAAUAUUUAUUUUCAUAUUGCUAAAGAAUGCUAUUGUAUGUUGUUACGUGCUAUAUGUUACUGCUUUAUAUAACUGGCAUUCCGCUCAUAAUUUCCUCCAUUUGGAAACCUUUUUUUUCUUUUACGAAUGGUUACGUGGUUGUAUGGACAUUCUUUCCUAAAACACCCUUCGGGAAAUGCCUUGUGGAUCGGUCGAUCAGUGGUGCAUUGACAGCCACAAGCUUUCCCACUCUUGAGUUAUCCACUCGAGGGAACCAUGUCAUAAACCCACUCUUCUUCUUUAGAUCCUAGCUACAUAUUUCUUUUACUAAGGAAUAUGCGUCCCAUUCUAUGUAGGAUGCCUUGGCAUUCUUGACACGUUGAAUGUUAGUAUCAUUCAAAGUCCAAAGAGGUUACGACCUCAAAGGGGACUUACAAUUAUUUGCUAUGUGUUGCAUUUCUAUGUAUGUCUUAUCUAUCUUUUUGUUUCCGUUCUUACCUUAGUCAUUCCUUAC